UAAUUUGUGUUUGUGUGUUCAUCCGGAGAAGGCGCUGUUGCCGUAGAGGAGAAAUCGAUCCGCGCCCAGGGAAUCGCUGUCUCAUGCCUUCUUUGCUGCCAAUUCUCUCCUACGACGUUCCGAUUCAAGGGGAAAUCCCUCCUCUAGCGUCCAAUGAGAGCUCCUCCAUCGUCUUCCGCGGCGAGCAGCACAGCAGCAGCAGUAGCAGCGUGUUGAAGAAGCACACCACAGUCUGCCGGGAGCUCCCGGAGAAGAAGAAGAAGCAUGUCAAGGCCGCCCAGGGCGGUGUGAAGAGCCACGGCGAGGGAUCGGGCGGCCAUAGCCAUCCUCUCGCAGAAUCGGUGGUGUCGGACAGUGGCGAUGCCGGCGAGGGCGUCGCCAAGGCCCAGGCGGUGGCCGAGGCCGUCAAGGUUAUGAAGAAGGCGGUGUUUGCGAUCCAAAUGGCCCUCUACAAUGGCCUGAGGAGCGAUUUCCAGCUCAAAGCCGCGACUUGCCUUCUCACUCAGAGCGAGUACGCGGACGUGGUUACCGAGCGAAGCAACGACAAGCAAUGUGGAUUCCCGCUGUGUCCAAACUCGCUCAAGGUGGAGAAGGCGAGAAAGGGGCGGUACCACAUAUCACUUCGCGAGCACAAAGUCUACGACCUGGAAGAGACCCGAGCGUUUUGCUCCACCGGGUGUGCCGUGAGCAGCAAGACUUAUGCGGCGAGUCUUCCGUCCAACCAUGAAGGGAUCAUGGAGCACCAGAAGCUGGAGGAGAUCAUAGCGUGCGUUCGUGGUCUUAGCUUAGCCACCACCGCCACCACCGCCACCACUACGAUUCCCGCCGCCGCUAGUGCGGGUAAGAUGAGUGCCUCGGCCCAAGACAGCGACGGAGUGGUGGUCCGGGAACGCACCGACUGUGAGCCCGGUGACCUCGAGUUCCAGCUCUCUCGUUCCGCCUCCAUCGAAGGAUAUGUUCCACGGGCUAAGCCGCAAGUUCAGAUAAACGACUCAUCCAAGCCUUUGAAGUCCGCUAUGAAGCAGUCGCCACGAAAGAAUCAGCGCAUCACUUGGGCCGAUGAGAUCCCGGCAGCGGUGGCUCAGCCAGAUGUGGACGAUAGCUUUACGUUCUCGACAACCGUCACGGUGACGAGCGAGGGAGAACGACUUGGAGCUGCACAGGUUGUAGCUGACGCCUUGGCUCAAGCCGCCAAUGUUUCAUCGCUGGGGGAAGUCGAGCCUUGCAAGGCUGCUGCAACUGCGGGGCUAGAGAUCGUCUCCCCCUAUGAGAAAGUCCCCGAGACGUUCGAGUUCGAUGCAACCAAGGAUGCCAAAGAAGAAGAAGACGAAGAAGAAAGGGAGGAUUUGAUCAGCCGGUCUUCUUGGUAUAGUGCACCUCCAAAACCGUACAAAGCGGAGGUGUCGCCCUUUGGGCUGCUCUGGAUGGCUUUAGAUGAAUGGGUGUCGAGCGGCACGCUGGCUCACAUCUAUGGAAGAGAUGACGAAGAGUUUCGUGACGUGAACGGGUGCUUCCUGACGUUGUCCAGGCUCUGGCGAUCGCUGAACCUCUCUCUGUCAUCGAACGGGCUGUAGUACGUGCUUGAAGUUUUUCGUAUGUUGUCAUGGAGUUUUUCCAGUCCAUUUUUCUUCCGCUUGAUCCUUAUGGAGCUCACUAACGCUUGUUUGCUGUAAACACACCAUUCCAGGGACGCUUGCUGGGGACGAUGCAUUUCUCCCAGGCGCUUCCAGCGUUCACGACCAAGCACUGGCGGAUGAUCGCGGCGCUCUUCCUGGACGCGCUCUCGGUGCAUAGACUGCCCGGCUUGGGUAGUCAGAUGACCAACAAUCGAGCUCUUCUACGAAAGCUUAUCAUCGAUUCUGGAAUGAAUGAUCCAGAGUACGAAAGUUUUAAGGAGCUUUUACUUCCUUUGGGCCGAUUGCCAGCCUUUGCGAGCGGCGGGGGAGGCUAAAGAAAGAAUAAUCUGCUACUUGCUUAAAAGAUUCCCGGACCAUGUACUUAAAAAGUGUGUAUAUAUAAAAUCUCGUUUACUUGGGA
Selaginella moellendorffii is the source of this 2037-nucleotide RNA transcript. It is a transcript of the gene named putative RNA polymerase II subunit B1 CTD phosphatase RPAP2 homolog, with no coding region annotated. The record is from RefSeq and is a predicted model, not a curated record. The transcript is spliced from 6 exons. NCBI's taxonomy places the organism in Eukaryota, Viridiplantae, Streptophyta, Lycopodiopsida, Selaginellales, Selaginellaceae.